GGGAUGUAGCUCAGCUGGGAGAGCAUCACGUUCGCAACGUGGGGGCCGAGGGUUCGAAUCCCUUCAUCUCC
RNAcentral lists this transfer RNA (71 nucleotides) under Slackia equolifaciens. It matches the Rfam family "tRNA". From Rfam's summary of the family: Transfer RNA (tRNA) molecules are approximately 80 nucleotides in length. Their secondary structure includes four short double-helical elements and three loops (D, anti-codon, and T loops). Further hydrogen bonds mediate the characteristic L-shaped molecular structure. tRNAs have two regions of fundamental functional importance: the anti-codon, which is responsible for specific mRNA codon recognition, and the 3' end, to which the tRNAs corresponding amino acid is attached (by aminoacyl-tRNA synthetases). tRNAs cope with the degeneracy of the genetic code in two manners: having more than one tRNA (with a specific anti-codon) for a particular amino acid; and 'wobble' base-pairing, i.e. permitting non-standard base-pairing at the 3rd anti-codon position. The record is from RNAcentral. Lineage: Bacteria; Bacillati; Actinomycetota; Coriobacteriia; Eggerthellales; Eggerthellaceae. RNAcentral also lists the same sequence under 10 other names.